UAUCAGUCAUCUUCCCAGUAUA
Molecule: microRNA, 22 nt
Filed under: Pristionchus pacificus
Lineage: Eukaryota; Metazoa; Nematoda; Chromadorea; Rhabditida; Neodiplogasteridae
Description: ppc-miR-8271-5p
Source: miRBase by way of RNAcentral